CAGCCGCGGUAAUACGAAGGGUGCAAGCGUUACUCGGAAUUACUGGGCGUAAAGCGUGCGUAGGUGGUUUGUUAAGUCUCAUGGUGAAAGGCCGGGGCUCAACCCCGAGCAUGCCGGGGAUACUGGGGGGCUGGAGACAGGUAGAGGCCAGCGGAAUUCCGGGUGUAGCGGUGGAAUGCGUAGAGAUCCGGAAGAACACCGGAGGCGAAGGCGGCUGGCUGGACCUGAUCUGACGCUGAGGUGCGAAAGCGUGGGGAGCGAA
RNAcentral lists this ribosomal RNA (262 nucleotides) under uncultured bacterium. RNAcentral describes it as "partial 16S ribosomal RNA". It matches the Rfam family "Bacterial small subunit ribosomal RNA", at positions 512 to 772 of the family's 1533-position model. The record is from RNAcentral.